This 460-nucleotide ribosomal RNA is filed under the name uncultured bacterium. RNAcentral describes it as "partial 16S ribosomal RNA". It matches the Rfam family "Bacterial small subunit ribosomal RNA", at positions 338 to 795 of the family's 1533-position model. The record is from RNAcentral.
CCUACGGGAGGCAGCAGUGAGGAAUAUUGGUCAAUGGGCGGGAGCCUGAACCAGCCAAGUCGCGUGAGGGAAGACGGUCCUAUGGAUUGUAAACCUCUUUAGGCGGGGAGCAAUGCCGGGCACGUGUGCCCGGAGGGAGAGUACCCGCAGAAUAAGCAUCGGCUAACUCCGUGCCAGCAGCCGCGGUAAGACGGAGGAGGCGAGCGUUAUCCGGAUUUAUUGGGUUUAAAGGGUGCGUAGGCGGAUUUUUAAGUCAGCGGUAAAAUGUCCGGGCUCAACCCGGGCCGGCCGUUGAAACUGGGGAGCUUGAGUGGGCGAGAAGUAUGCGGAAUGCGUGGUGUAGCGGUGAAAUGCAUAGAUAUCACGCAGAACUCCGAUUGCGAAGGCAGCAUACCGGCGCCCGACUGACGCUGAGGCACGAAAGCGUGGGGAUCGAACAGGAUUAGAUACCCCAGUAGUC